RNAcentral lists this ribosomal RNA (465 nucleotides) under uncultured bacterium. RNAcentral's name for it is "partial 16S ribosomal RNA". It matches the Rfam family "Bacterial small subunit ribosomal RNA", at positions 29 to 523 of the family's 1533-position model. The record is from RNAcentral.
AGCGAACGCUAGCGGCAGGCUUAACACAUGCAAGCCGAGCGCCAGGUUUCGGCCUGGAGCGGCGAACGGGUGAGUAACACGUAGGUCACGUACCCUAUGGUGGGGAAUACCCCGGGGAAACUCGGAUCAAUGCCCCAUAUGUCCGAAAGGAUGAAAGCGCUUCGGCGCGCCAGAGGAUCGGCCUGCGGCCCAUUAUUUAAUCCUAGUUGGUGAGGUAACGGCUCACCAAGGGUACGAUGGGUAGCUGGUCUGAGAGGACGAUCAGCCACACUGGAACUGAGACACGGUCCAGACUCCUACGGGAGGCAGCAGUGGGGAAUAUUGGACAAUGGGCGAAAGCCUGAUCCAGCCAUGCCGCGUGAGUGAUGAAGGCCUUCGGGUUGUAAAGCUCUGUCGUGGGGGAAGAAGUUCUGACGGUACCCCACAAGAAAGCACCGGCUAACUCCGUGCCAGCCGCCGCAGUAA